This 398-nucleotide long non-coding RNA is filed under the name Numida meleagris (helmeted guineafowl). RNAcentral's name for it is "lncRNA (ENSNMEG00000000379.1)". The record is from RNAcentral. Lineage: Eukaryota; Metazoa; Chordata; Aves; Galliformes; Numididae.
GAAAGAAGGAAAAUUGAAAAGUGCCCCAUCAAGUGAGUUAUCUCUUCUACCACUUCUUUAUCUUUCAGAAGCAAAAUCCUUAUCACUGACAGAAUCUGCAGAAGCCCUCCCCACCACUCGUGGUUGUCAAUGGCAUUCCAGAUGAGCAUCUUCCAGUUCUGUGUUUUAAUGAUCAUUUUUUGCCAUGAUCAACUGCCUAUUUUGUCUGAGUGAUAAAAUGGAGGCCAGCACCUCUGACUGGAGUUUUGGCUCUGAAUCAACGCAGUGAUGAAAUUUCACGUUUUCAAAGAGUCUGGCCGUUUUGCUGAAUGAUUUGUUUUUGCUUGUACUACAGAAUCAAGAUCUUUAAGGAAAGAAAGAAAAAUAAAACUUUGAAUAUCAGUAAAUUAAAAUGAAGC